Molecule: ribosomal RNA, 505 nt
Filed under: uncultured bacterium
Lineage: Bacteria
Description: partial 16S ribosomal RNA
Rfam family: Bacterial small subunit ribosomal RNA
Source: RNAcentral
GACGAACGCUGGCGGCGUGCCUAAUACAUGCAAGUAGAACGCACAGUUUAUACCGUAGCUUGCUACACCAUAAACUGUGAGUUGCGAACGGGUGAGUAACGCGUAGGUAACCUGCCUGGUAGCGGGGGAUAACUAUUGGAAACGAUAGCUAAUACCGCAUAAUAUUUAUUAUUGCAUGAUAAUUGAUUGAAAGAUGCUAUUGCAUCACUACCAGAUGGACCUGCGUUGUAUUAGCUAGUAGGUGAGGUAACGGCUCACCUAGGCGACGAUACAUAGCCGAACUGAGAGGGUGAGCGGCCACACUGGGACUGAGACACGGCCCAGACUCACACGGGAGGCAGCAGUAGGGAAUCUUCGGCAAUGGACGAAAGUCUGACCGAGCAACGCGGCGUGAGUGAAGAAGGUUUUCGGAUCGUAAAGCUCUGUUGUAAGAGAAGAACGGGUGUGAGAGUGGAAAGUUCACACUGUGACGGUAUCUUACCAGAAAGGGACGGCUAACUACGUG